AUAAGCAUCCGAGACUUCAGGCACCCCCACAGUAACAGAAAUGAAUGGCAGAAGGGUCACGGAAUCCUACAAAAUUUUGCAGAGGUGCCCGAACCUGCAACUGAAACAUGGAACGUUAGGCAACGCAUUGUCACCCAACAAAACAUUCCCAACGACAGAUGUAAAUAGAUGGUCCAGAAGAACGAUCUCGAUUAACAUCGACAAGGAAUACCUAGCUACGACCACAAAGGGAGGGCACGAAAAAGCACAUCGAACAACAGCGAGACCGUAACAACGACAAAAGUAAAUAAAUGGACAGAAGCUGCUAGCAACAUGACCUAUUUCUUCUUCUACCCUGGCUCGGAGACCGACGGCAUCUCCCCGGCUGGUGCCGACGUCUCCGCGCUGCCACCGCUCCCCGGACAUCGAGCGCAUCUGAUCUAUCCUUCACACACAGAUUCAAGAUGAAAGAAACUCAGAAUCGUACGCCUGCAGAACACGACUGAAAAUGAAGACAAGAAGAAAGAAGAAGCAGCCAAUGUAUACCAGGGGGGCUAUGUAUCACCGGC
RNAcentral lists this long non-coding RNA (548 nucleotides) under Triticum aestivum (bread wheat). Its description in RNAcentral is "long non-coding RNA (TAES_LNC023257)". Lineage: Eukaryota; Viridiplantae; Streptophyta; Magnoliopsida; Poales; Poaceae. The record is from RNAcentral.